RNAcentral lists this transfer RNA (72 nucleotides) under Terfezia claveryi. RNAcentral's name for it is "tRNA-Pro". It matches the Rfam family "tRNA". Rfam says of the family: Transfer RNA (tRNA) molecules are approximately 80 nucleotides in length. Their secondary structure includes four short double-helical elements and three loops (D, anti-codon, and T loops). Further hydrogen bonds mediate the characteristic L-shaped molecular structure. tRNAs have two regions of fundamental functional importance: the anti-codon, which is responsible for specific mRNA codon recognition, and the 3' end, to which the tRNAs corresponding amino acid is attached (by aminoacyl-tRNA synthetases). tRNAs cope with the degeneracy of the genetic code in two manners: having more than one tRNA (with a specific anti-codon) for a particular amino acid; and 'wobble' base-pairing, i.e. permitting non-standard base-pairing at the 3rd anti-codon position. Lineage: Eukaryota; Fungi; Ascomycota; Pezizomycetes; Pezizales; Pezizaceae. The record is from RNAcentral. RNAcentral also lists the same sequence under 2 other names.
GGCUCAAUGGUCUAGUCGUAUGAUUCUCGCUUUGGGUGCGAGAGGUCUCGGGUUCAAUUCCCGAUUGAGCCC